UACGUAGGGUGCAAGCGUUAAUCGGAAUUACUGGGCGUAAAGCGUGCGCAGGCGGUUCGUUGUGUCGGCGGUGAAAGCCCCGGGCUUAACCUGGGAAUGGCCGUUGAAACUGGCGAACUGGAGUGUGGCAGAGGGGGGUGGAAUUCCGCGUGUAGCAGUGAGAUGCGUAGAGAUGCGGAGGAACACCGAUGGCGAAGGCAGCCCCCUGGGCUAACACUGACGCUCAGGCACGAAAGCGUGGGGAGCAAACAGG
Molecule: ribosomal RNA, 253 nt
Filed under: uncultured bacterium
Lineage: Bacteria
Description: partial 16S ribosomal RNA
Rfam family: Bacterial small subunit ribosomal RNA
Source: RNAcentral